RNAcentral lists this transfer RNA (63 nucleotides) under Rattus norvegicus (Norway rat). It matches the Rfam family "tRNA". From Rfam's summary of the family: Transfer RNA (tRNA) molecules are approximately 80 nucleotides in length. Their secondary structure includes four short double-helical elements and three loops (D, anti-codon, and T loops). The record is from Rfam by way of RNAcentral. Lineage: Eukaryota; Metazoa; Chordata; Mammalia; Rodentia; Muridae.
GGGGAUUUGGCUCAGUGGUAGAGUGCUUGCCUAGCAAGCGCAAGGUCCUGAGUUCAAUCCCCA